AUGUAUAGCAAUAGCUGAUUGCACCAACAAAUGGUUGAUGCAAUAUUGACUCUGUCAAAUAAAAUUCUAGGUAGAAUUAUGAUAAUGACAUUGUCUGCCUAUAUGUCUUGACCAAAUUACGUGCCAGCAGUCGCGGUAAUACGUAGAAGACUAGUGUUAUUCAUCUUUAAUAGGUUUAAAGGGUACCUAGACGGUAAAUCAAGCCUUCACAGGGACUAAUUUACUAGAGUUACUUACGAGGGGGUAUUAAAGUACUGCAGGUGUAGAGAUGAAAUUCUGUCAUACCUCUUUUCAAAAGAAAAAUUAUGGCACAGGUAUAGGUGAAAGCAUCCCCUUAUGUGAUAACUGACGUUGAAGGACGAAGGCUUUGUGUCGCGAACAGGAUUAGAUACCCCAGUAGUCAAAGCAGAAAAUGAUGAAUGUCAUAGAUUAGAUAUAUAGUUUAUUCUAUAAAUGAAAAUGUAAGCAUUCCACCUCAAGAGUAAUUUGGCAACAUUGGAACUGAAAUCAUUAGACCGUUUCUGAAACCAGUAGUGAAGUAUGUUGUUUAAUUUGAUGAUCCGCAAAAAACCUUACCACAAUUUGAAUAUUUGUAUCUAUCUUUUUGUACGUAAAAAAAUAAAAAGGUAAUAUAUUUACAAGCGUUGCACGGCUGUCUUCAGUUAAUGUCGCGAGACUUUGGUUAGUUCCAUUUAAUUAACGUAAACCCUUACUUUAUUUUUAUAUGAAGUAGUUCCCCGCUAUAUUGGAUAUGAUAACAGGGACUAGGACAAGUCAUCAUGGCCUUAAUAUUGU
RNAcentral lists this ribosomal RNA (795 nucleotides) under Lepraria oxybapha. Its description in RNAcentral is "SSU rRNA". It matches the Rfam family "Bacterial small subunit ribosomal RNA", at positions 368 to 1210 of the family's 1533-position model. Lineage: Eukaryota; Fungi; Ascomycota; Lecanoromycetes; Lecanorales; Stereocaulaceae. The record is from RNAcentral.